RNAcentral lists this ribosomal RNA (405 nucleotides) under uncultured bacterium. RNAcentral describes it as "partial 16S ribosomal RNA". It matches the Rfam family "Bacterial small subunit ribosomal RNA", at positions 28 to 526 of the family's 1533-position model. The record is from RNAcentral.
GACGAACGCUGGCGGCGUGCCUAACACAUGCAAGUCGAGCGGAGCGGCGAACGGGUGAGUAACGCGUGAGUAACUGCCCCCCUCUCUGGGAUCACAGUUGGAAAAGGCUGCUAAUACCAGAUAGUGGGGGUGGACUCGGGUCCUAUCGGCUUGUUGGUGGGGUAGUGGGCAACCAAGGCGACGACGGGUGGCCGGCCUGAGAGGGCGACCGGCGACAAUGGGCUAGGUGACGGCCCAGACUCCUACGGGAGGCAGCAGUGGGGAAUAUUGCCCAGUGGGGCAAACCCUGAUGCGGCAACGCCGCGUGCGGGAUGACGGCCUUCGGGUUGUAAACCGCGUUCAGCCAUGACGCGGUAGUGUCAGAAGAAGCACCGGCUAACUACGUGCCAGCAGCCGCGGUAAUUC